Long non-coding RNA from Xyrauchen texanus (razorback sucker), 1161 nucleotides. RefSeq lists it as uncharacterized. The record is from RefSeq and is a predicted model, not a curated record. The transcript has 4 exons. NCBI's taxonomy places the organism in Eukaryota, Metazoa, Chordata, Actinopteri, Cypriniformes, Catostomidae.
UGUCCACAGUGAGACAAACUGUCUAUAAAUGGAGAUGAUUUAGUACUAUAGGUACUCUCACUAGAAGUGUCCGUUAGAUAUUCAUCUGUCCACAGUUAGACAAACUGUCUAUAAAUGGAGAUGAUUUAGUACUAUAGGUACUCUCACUAGAAGUGGCCGUUAGAUAUUCAUCUGUCCACAGUGAGACAAACUGUCUAUAAAUGGAGAUGAUUUAGUACUAUAGGUACUCUCUCUAGAAGUGGCCGUUAGAUAUUCAUCUGUCCACAGUUAGACAAACUGUCUAUAAAUGGAGAUGAUUUAGUACUAUAGGUACUCUCACUAGAAGUGGCCGUUAGAUAUUCAUCUGUCCACAGUGAGACAAACUGUCUAUAAAUGGAGAUGAUUUAGUACUAUAGGUACUCUCACUAGAAGUGGCCGUUAGAUAUUCAUCUGUCCACAGUGAGACAAACUGUCUAUAAAUGGAGAUGAUUUAGUACUAUAGGUACUCUCUCUAGAAGUGGCCGUUAGAUAUUCAUCUGUCCACAGUUAGACAAACUGUCUAUAAAUGGAGAUGAUUUAGUACUAUAGGUACUCUCACUAGAAGUGGCCGUUAGAUAUUCAUCUGUCCACAGUGAGACAAACUGUCUAUAAAUGGAGAUGAUUUAGUACUAUAGGUACUCUCACUAGAAGUGGCCGUUAGAUAUUCAUCUGUCCACAGUGAGACAAACUGUCUAUAAAUGGAGAUGAUUUAGUACUAUAGGUACUCUCUCUAGAAGUGGCCGUUAGAUAUUCAUCUGUUCACAGUGAGACAAACUGUCUAUAAAUGGAGAUGAUUUAGUACUAUAGGUACUCUCUCUAGAAGUGGCCGUUAGAUAUUCAUCUGUUCACAGUUAGACAAACUGUCUAUAAAUGGAGAUGAUUUAGUACUAUAGGUACUCUCUCUAGAAGUGGCCGUUAGAUAUUCAUCUGUUCACAGUUAGACAAACUGUCUAUAAAUGGAGAUGAUUUAGUACUAUAGGUACUCUCACUAGAAGUGGCCGUUAGAUAUUCAUCUGUCCACAGUUAGACAAACUGUCUAUAAAUGGAGAUGAUUUAGUACUAUAGGUACUCUCUCUAGAAGUGGCCGUUAGAUAUUCAUCUGUCCACAGUGAGACAAACUGUCUAUAAAUGGAGAUGAUUUAG